Molecule: long non-coding RNA, 611 nt
Organism: Zingiber officinale
Lineage: Eukaryota; Viridiplantae; Streptophyta; Magnoliopsida; Zingiberales; Zingiberaceae
Exons: 3
Source: RefSeq, a predicted model, not a curated record
AGAUAUUCCAGUCGCUAGUCCCAUUAUCGCGAGGAUUUUUUGUUGGAUUAUAUUUUGCUUUUGCAUCUUAUAUACUUGUAUUGUGGAUUUAUAUUGUGGACAUUGAACAUUCGGAUUUAUUACUUUUGUUUAGGUUUUUGGGUUGUUCAAUGGCGAUGGAGGAUGCAACAGAGAGUUGCGACAGUUGGCAUGUGGUGGAUUUGGCUCGCAUACAUACUCGGCAGAAAUUGUAACACUGUGUAUAACCAGUUCCUUAGCUACCACCAUUUUUACUCUGAUGCAUGCGCCACCUUCACGUUGCGUUAUUGACGUUCCACGAAGUCACCACCUACACCACAGGUGCCUGUGCUAUUGCAGCCUAUAGUCACAUAAGUUUAGUAUAAGGAAGAUUCCUAUGAGUGAUUCUUCUAUAGAACUUCCUAAAGGUUUUACUUGAAAUGAAGGUAGCUUCUUUGAGCUGAUGUUGUUGAAAAGAUUGAGUAGUUCCUUGAGGUGAUUAAUAAGAUUGUCUCAACAAACUUGGUUGGUUUGUUACUUUAUACAAGAGAAACAAUUCAUCUCAUGGAAUUUGAAGACAUGCUACUAGCAAGAGGAUGGAGGAAGAAAUUAUU